Molecule: ribosomal RNA, 390 nt
Filed under: Bothriechis nigroviridis
Lineage: Eukaryota; Metazoa; Chordata; Lepidosauria; Squamata; Viperidae
Description: partial 16S ribosomal RNA
Rfam family: Bacterial large subunit ribosomal RNA
Source: RNAcentral
CAAAAUGAGAGCCCAACUGUCUCUUAUAACAAAUCAAUUAAACUGAUCUCCUAGUACAAAAGCUAGAAUAUCAACAUAAGACCAGAAGACCCUGUGAAGCUUUAACUAACCUAUUAAACCCAAUAAUAGCUACUUUCGGUUGGGGCGACCUUGGAAUAAAAAAGAACUUCCAACAAUAUGACUUCUCAUAAAAUAGGCAGACAAGCCAACACUAGACCCAGUAUUACUGAUAAUUGAAAUAAGUUACUCCAGGGAUAACAGCGCUAUCUUCUUUAAGAGCCCAUAUCAAAAAGAAGGUUUACGACCUCGAUGUUGGAUCAGGGCACCCCAGUAAUGCACCCGUUACUAAAGGUUCGUUUGUUCAACGAUCAACAGCCCUACGUGAUCUGA